AAAUAUCUGAAGAUUAGGAAAGUAAAUUUGGAUACUUUAAAGAGAGACUCUGCUUGGUGAAAAGAGUUAAGUUUUGAAGAGUUGAAAAUGACCUAGGAGGAUAGCGUGUCGAUAAGUAGGCAUGCUCGGAAGUUCUACCGUUAAAAAGAACACCGAUCUUUCAUACAUUGGGAAUGUCGGAGUGAGGGAAGGUUUAACUUCUAAACAAAAGGUGGUAACACGAGUAUUCGUCCUUUUA
RNAcentral lists this non-coding RNA (238 nucleotides) under Tetragenococcus muriaticus. RNAcentral's name for it is "T-box sequence". It matches the Rfam family "T-box leader". From Rfam's summary of the family: Uncharged tRNA acts as the effector for transcription antitermination of genes in the T-box leader family. T-boxes are found upstream of many aminoacyl-tRNA synthetase genes and some amino acid biosynthetic genes usually in Gram-positive bacteria. The anticodon of a specific tRNA base pairs to a specifier sequence within the T-box motif, and the NCCA acceptor tail of the tRNA base pairs to a conserved bulge in the T-box antiterminator hairpin. The record is from RNAcentral. Lineage: Bacteria; Bacillati; Bacillota; Bacilli; Lactobacillales; Enterococcaceae.